This 484-nucleotide ribosomal RNA is filed under the name uncultured bacterium. Its description in RNAcentral is "partial 16S ribosomal RNA". It matches the Rfam family "Bacterial small subunit ribosomal RNA", at positions 30 to 507 of the family's 1533-position model. The record is from RNAcentral.
AUUGAACGCUGGCGGCAGGCCUAACACAUGCAAGUCGAGCGGAUGAAGGGAGCUUGCUCCUGGAUUCAGCGGCGGACGGGUGAGUAAUGCCUAGGAAUCUGCCUGGUAGUGGGGGAUAACGUCCGGAAACGGGCGCUAAUACCGCAUACGUCCUGAGGGAGAAAGUAGGGGAUCUUCGGACCUCACGCUAUCAGAUGAGCCUAGGUCGGAUUAGCUAGUUGGUGGGGUAAAGGCCUACCAAGGCGACGAUCCGUAACUGGUCUGAGAGGAUGAUCAGUCACACUGGAACUGAGACACGGUCCAGACUCCUACGGGAGGCAGCAGUGGGGAAUAUUGGACAAUGGGCGAAAGCCUGAUCCGGCCAUGCCGCGUGUGUGAAGAAGGUCUUCGGAUUGUAAAGCACUUUAAGUUGGGAGGAAGGGCAGUAAGUUAAUACCUUGCUGUUUUGACGUUACCAACAGAAUAAGCACCGGCUAACUUCGUG